CAACCUCUGACGAAACGCGUGUAUGUUG
Molecule: non-coding RNA, 28 nt
Filed under: unclassified sequences
Description: L19-Flavobacteria ribosomal protein leader
Rfam family: L19-Flavobacteria ribosomal protein leader
Source: RNAcentral